GACGAACGCUGGCGGCGUGCUUAACGCAUGCAAGUCGAACGGAAAGGCCCUGCUUUUGUGGGGUGCUCGAGUGGCGAACGGGUGAGUAACACGUGAGUAACCUGCCCUUGACUUUGGGAUAACUUCAGGAAACUGGGGCUAAUACCGGAUAGGAGCUCCUGCUGCAUGGUGGGGGUUGGAAAGUUUCGGCGGUUGGGGAUGGACUCGCGGCUUAUCAGCUUGUUGGUGGGGUAGUGGCUUACCAAGGCUUUGACGGGUAGCCGGCCUGAGAGGGUGACCGGCAACAUUGGGACUGAGAUACGGCCCAGACUCCUACGGGAGGAAGCAGUGGGGAAUAUUGCACAAUGGGCGGAAGCCUGAUGCAGCAACGCCGCGUGCGGGAUGACGGCCUUCGGGUUGUAAACCGCUUUCGCCUGUGACGAAGCGUGAGUGACGGUAAUGGGUAAAGAAGCACCGGCUAACUACGUG
This 468-nucleotide ribosomal RNA is filed under the name uncultured bacterium. RNAcentral describes it as "partial 16S ribosomal RNA". It matches the Rfam family "Bacterial small subunit ribosomal RNA", at positions 28 to 507 of the family's 1533-position model. The record is from RNAcentral.